Molecule: ribosomal RNA, 1466 nt
Filed under: uncultured prokaryote
Description: partial 16S ribosomal RNA
Rfam family: Bacterial small subunit ribosomal RNA
Source: RNAcentral
GAGUUUGAUCCUGGCUCAGAUUGAACGCUGGCGGUAUGCCUAACACAUGCAAGUCGAACGGACUCUUCGGAGUUAGUGGCGCACGGGUGCGGAACGUAUAGCUAACAUGCCCUUUAGAGGGGGAUAACAGUUGGAAACGACUGCUAAUACCCCAUACUCCUUCUCAUCAUAAGACUGCAAGGGAAAUACUUAUAGCUCGAAGAUUGGCCUGUACGGUAUCAGCUUGUUGGUGAGGUAAUGGCUCACCAAGGCACAGACGCCUAACUGGUUUGAGAGGAUGAUCAGUCACACUGGAACUGAGACACGGUCCAGACUCCUACGGGAGGCAGCAGUGGGGAAUAUUGCACAAUGGACGAAAGUCUGAUGCAGCAACGCCGCGUGGAGGAUGACACAUUUCGGUGCGUAAACUCCUUUUAUAUGGGAAGAUAAUGACGGUACCAUAUGAAUAAGCACCGGCUAACUCCGUGCCAGCAGCCGCGGUAAUACGGAGGGUGCAAGCGUUACUCGGAAUCACUGGGCGUAAAGCGCGCGCAGGCGGCUUGAUAAGUUGGAUGUGAAAGCCUACGGCUCAACCGUAGAACUGCAUCCAAAACUGUCAGGCUAGAGUGUGGGAGAGGAAGAUGGAAUUAGUUGUGUAGGGGUAAAAUCCGUAGAGAUAACUAGGAAUACCAAAAGCGAAGGCAAUCUUCUGGAACACUACUGACGCUGAGGCGCGAAAGCGUGGGGAGCAAACAGGAUUAGAUACCCUGGUAGUCCACGCAGUAAACGAUGAAUGUUAGUCGUCGGGAUGCAAGUCAUUUCGGUGAUGCAGUUAACACAUUAAACAUUCCGCCUGGGGAGUACGGUCGCAAGAUUAAAACUCAAAGGAAUAGACGGGGACCCGCACAAGUGGUGGAGCAUGUGGUUUAAUUCGAAAAUACGCGAAGAACCUUACCUAGCCUUGACAUAUUUUAGAAUCCUCCGAAACAUUGGAGUGGAGUGCCUUCGGGAGCUAAUUUACUGGUGCUGCACGGCUGUCGUCAGCUCGUGUCGUGAGAUGUUGGGUUAAGUCCCGCAACGAGCACAACCCCUAUCCUUGGUUGCCAGCACGUAAUGGUGGGAACUCCAGGGAGACUGCCGGUGACAAACCGGAGGAAGGUGGGGAUGACGUCAAGUCAUCAUGGCCCUUAUGACCAGGGCUACACACGUGCUACAAUGGGCAGUACAGACGGGCGCAAUACCGCGAGGUGGAGCCAAUCCCAGAAAACUGCUCGUAGUCCGGAUCGGAGUCUGCAACUCGACUCCGUGAAGUCGGAAUCGCUAGUAAUCGCGAAUCAGAAUGUCGCGGUGAAUACGUUCCCGGGCCUUGUAAACACCGCCCGUCACACCAUGGGAGUGGAUUGCAAAAGAAGUAGGUAGCUUAACCUUCGGGAUGGCGCUUACCACUUUGUGCUUCAUGACUGGGGUGAAGUCGUAACAAGGUAGCC